CGCACCUUGCACCCUUUGGCAUUCCGAAGGGUACAUCUGUUUGAGUGUCAUGAAUACCUCAACCACUGCAUUUGCUGUAUGGCGAACGCAGGCGGUUGGAUGUUGAGCGCUGCUGGCUUUGUUGCACAGCUCGUUCCAAAUGCAUCAGCGAUCCCUUUCCAUUUCGGAUUGACCCAAUGUGAUAAGCCAUUCUUCAUUGGGGACGCCUCUUGUCAGGCGGCCGAACCGCAAAGGGCAGCUUCUAAACCCAACACCCCCCUUUUAAAUUUUAGACCUCAAAUCAGAUGGGACUACCCGCUGAACUUAA
Molecule: unclassified non-coding RNA, 307 nt
Filed under: Septobasidium sinuosum
Lineage: Eukaryota; Fungi; Basidiomycota; Pucciniomycetes; Septobasidiales; Septobasidiaceae
Description: partial contains 5.8S ribosomal RNA, internal transcribed spacer 2, and large subunit ribosomal RNA
Source: RNAcentral